UGGGGAAUCUUGCGCAAUGGGCGAAAGCCUGACGCAGCAACGCCGCGUGAGCGAAGACGGCCUUCGGGUUGUAAAGCUCUGUCAGGAGGGACGAAGCCACUCGGGUGAAUAGCCCAGAGGGUGACGGUACCUCCAGAGGAAGCCCCGGCUAACUACGUGCCAGCAGCCGCGGUAAUACGUAGGGGGCGAGCGUUGUCCGGAAUCAUUGGGCGUAAAGCGCGUGUAGGCGGCCGAUCAAGUCCGAUGUGAAAGCUCGGGGCUCAACCCCGAGUCUGCAUUGGAAACUGCUCGGCUAGAGUCCGGAAGAGGAGACUGGAAUUCCUGGUGUAGCGGUGAAAUGCGCAGAUAUCAGGAAGAACACCGGUGGCGAAGGCGGGUCUCUGGGACGGUACUGACGCUG
This 400-nucleotide ribosomal RNA is filed under the name uncultured bacterium. RNAcentral's name for it is "bacterial SSU rRNA". It matches the Rfam family "Bacterial small subunit ribosomal RNA", at positions 355 to 748 of the family's 1533-position model. The record is from RNAcentral.